This 420-nucleotide ribosomal RNA is filed under the name uncultured Planctomycetaceae bacterium. RNAcentral describes it as "bacterial SSU rRNA". It matches the Rfam family "Bacterial small subunit ribosomal RNA", at positions 353 to 772 of the family's 1533-position model. The record is from RNAcentral. Lineage: Bacteria; Pseudomonadati; Planctomycetota; Planctomycetia; Planctomycetales; Planctomycetaceae.
AGUCGAGAAUCUUCGGCAAUGGGCGAAAGCCUGACCGAGCGACGCCGCGUGCGGGAUGAAGGCCCUCGGGUUGUAAACCGCUGUCGUAGGGGAGGAAGGCUUCGUGAAGAGCGAGGUUUGACCUAUCCUAGGAGGAAGUACGGGCUAAGUUCGUGCCAGCAGCCGCGGUAAUACGAACCGUACAAACGUUAUUCGGAAUCACUGGGCUUAAAGGGUGCGUAGGCGGCCAUGUAAGUGAGAUGUGAAAUCCCUCGGCUCAACCGAGGAACUGCGUUUCAUACUGCAUGGCUUGAGGGAGACAGGGGUAAGCGGAACUGAUGGUGGAGCGGUGAAAUGCGUUGAUAUCAUCAGGAACACCGGUGGCGAAAGCGGCUUACUGGGUCUCUUCUGACGCUGAGGUACGAAAGCUAGGGGAGCGAA